UACGGGGGGGGCAAGCGUUGUUCGGAAUUACUGGGCGUAAAGGGCUCGUAGGUGGCCAACUAAGUCGGACGUGAAAUCCCUCGGCUUAACCGGGGAACUGCGUCCGAUACUGGCAGGCUUGAAUUCGGGAGAGGGAUGCGGAAUUCCAGGUGUAGCGGUGAAAUGCGUAGAUAUCUGGAGGAACACCGGUGGCGAAGGCGGCAUCCUGGACCGAGAUUGACGCUGAGGCGCGAAAGCUAGGGGAGCAAACGGG
This 253-nucleotide ribosomal RNA is filed under the name uncultured bacterium. Its description in RNAcentral is "partial 16S ribosomal RNA". It matches the Rfam family "Bacterial small subunit ribosomal RNA", at positions 524 to 776 of the family's 1533-position model. The record is from RNAcentral.